Molecule: ribosomal RNA, 1218 nt
Filed under: Salmonella enterica subsp. enterica serovar Montevideo
Lineage: Bacteria; Pseudomonadati; Pseudomonadota; Gammaproteobacteria; Enterobacterales; Enterobacteriaceae
Description: partial 23S ribosomal RNA
Rfam family: Bacterial large subunit ribosomal RNA
Source: RNAcentral
AUAAUGGGUCAGCGACUUAUAUUCUGUAGCAAGGUUAACCGUAUAGGGGAGCCGGAGGGAAACCGAGUCUUAACCGGGCGUUAAGUUGCAGGGUAUAGACCCGAAACCCGGUGAUCUAGCCAUGGGCAGGUUGAAGGUUGGGUAACACUAACUGGAGGACCGAACCGACUAAUGUUGAAAAAUUAGCGGAUGACCUGUGGCUGGGGGUGAAAGGCCAAUCAAACCGGGAGAUAGCUGGUUCUCCCCGAAAGCUAUUUAGGUAGCGCCUCGUGAAUUCAUCUCCGGGGGUAGAGCACUGUUUCGGCUAGGGGGCCAUCCCGGCUUACCAACCCGAUGCAAACUGCGAAUACCGGAGAAUGUUAUCACGGGAGACACACGGCGGGUGCUAACGUCCGUCGUGAAGAGGGAAACAACCCAGACCGCCAGCUAAGGUCCCAAAGUCAUGGUUAAGUGGGAAACGAUGUGGGAAGGCCCAGACAGCCAGGAUGUUGGCUUAGAAGCAGCCAUCAUUUAAAGAAAGCGUAAUAGCUCACUGGUCGAGUCGGCCUGCGCGGAAGAUGUAACGGGGCUAAACCAUGCACCGAAGCUGCGGCAGCGACGCUGAUGCGUUGUUGGGUAGGGGAGCGUUCUGUAAGCCUGCGAAGGUGGCCUGUGAGGGUUGCUGGAGGUAUCAGAAGUGCGAAUGCUGACAUAAGUAACGAUAAAGCGGGUGAAAAGCCCGCUCGCCGGAAGACCAAGGGUUCCUGUCCAACGUUAAUCGGGGCAGGGUGAGUCGACCCCUAAGGCGAGGCCGAAAGGCGUAGUCGAUGGGAAACGGGUUAAUAUUCCCGUACUUGGUGUUACUGCGAAGGGGGGACGGAGAAGGCUAUGUUGGCCGGGCGACGGUUGUCCCGGUUUAAGCGUGUAGGUGUGUGUUCCAGGUAAAUCCGGUUCACUUUAACACUGAGGCGUGAUGACGAGGCACUACGGUGCUGAAGCAACAAAUGCCCUGCUUCCAGGAAAAGCCUCUAAGCAUCAGGUAACAUCAAAUCGUACCCCAAACCGACACAGGUGGUCAGGUAGAGAAUACCAAGGCGCUUGAGAGAACUCGGGUGAAGGAACUAGGCAAAAUGGUGCCGUAACUUCGGGAGAAGGCACGCUGACACGUAGGUGAAGUGAUUUACUCAUGGAGCUGAAGUCAGUCGAAGAUACCAGCUGGCUGCAACUGUUUAUUAAAAA